UGGGGAAUUGUUCGCAAUGGGCGCAAGCCUGACGACGCAAUGCCGCGUGGAGGAUGAAGGUCUUCGGAUUGUAAACUCCUGUUGCCAGGGACGAAUGGCUCCGACCUAAUACGUCGGAGUAUGACGGUACCUGGUGAGGAAGCCCCGGCUAACUCUGUGCCAGCAGCCGCGGUAAUACAGAGGGGGCAAGCGUUGUUCGGAAUUACUGGGCGUAAAGGGCGCGUAGGCGGCCUCUUAAGUCGAACGUGAAAUCCCCGGGCUCAACCCGGGAACUGCGUCCGAUACUGGGGGGCUUGAAUCCGGGAGAGGGAUGUGGAAUUCCAGGUGUAGCGGUGAAAUGCGUAGAUAUCUGGAGGAACACCGGUGGCGAAGGCGGCAUCCUGGACCGGUAUUGACGCUGAGGCGCGAAAGCCAGGGGAGCAAACGG
RNAcentral lists this ribosomal RNA (427 nucleotides) under uncultured bacterium. Its description in RNAcentral is "bacterial SSU rRNA". It matches the Rfam family "Bacterial small subunit ribosomal RNA", at positions 355 to 775 of the family's 1533-position model. The record is from RNAcentral.